CUAAUUGUUCAUUCAUUUUAUUGAAGUUUUUAGUAUACAUUUUUACAAAAGUGAAGCCGCUCCUAAUACCCCAGACCAAAACAAUUUAAAUAAACAACCCCCCCAUCCUGUUUGUUCCCAUCAAACCAUUUAAUGUGACACAAAGAAUAACCAAACAACAAUAAUAACAACAAAAACAAGCAAACAAGACACAUAUUCAGCAGGUCCUUGUUGGGACAGGUUGACACGACAGGAGCGAAAAUGUAGACAGGACACCAUUUAAUAACAAAUUGAACAUUUGUAUUUGGGGGAAGUCACCUAUGGUGAAAAGAUUGUUGCAGGGGAUAAAUCUUAUUUGUUUUUUUAAACCUGAUUAGAUACAAAAGUAAAUAAAUAAAAUAAUAAAACAAUAAUAUAUUAGCUCAAAAAUAAAUAGUAAUAGCAACUUGAGUGAUAGAGGAAACAUUAGGGGGAGUUCUGCUCAGCGGUAUCUGCAAGGACUUGAGGAGUUGAGGGGUCCAGUUUUCGAUGAAGGAUUUCAUUUAGUCUUUGGUGGAUGCUGUAAUUCUUUCCAUUGUGAUGUGGUGAGUGAGAAGAUUGAGCCAUUGACAAACAGCUGGUAUCUCUUUUUCCAGUUGAGUAAUCCUGUUUUCUUGGCGAUAUUUAAAGCGAUUUAAAAUGGACCGAUGAUGUUUGGGUGGUAGGUCUGAAGACCCAAAAGGGUGGACAGUUUGUGUAUGUGUAACGGCCGUUGUUGGUGGAAGAAGAGGAGGACCAAUGCGCAGCGUGGUAAGUGUCCAUAUUGAUCAUUUAUUAUCAUGCGAACACUAAACAAAAUAACAAAGGAGAAUGAACGAAACGAAACAGUUCUGUCUGGUGUAGACACAAAACAGAAAACAAUCACCCACGAAACACAAGUGGGAAAAGGCUACCUAAGUAUGAUUCUCAAUCAGAGACAACUAACGACACCUGCCUCUGAUUGAGAACCAUACCAGGCCAAACGCAAAACACAACAUAGAAAAAGGAACAUAGACAACCCACCCAAUUCACGCCCUGACCAUACUAAAACAAAGACAUAACAAAAGAACUAAAGGUCAGAACGUGACAGUAUGGUUUCUUUCCAGAAUUGUAGGGUGGGUUGACAGAGCCAUGUGGUGUGAAAGUUGUUGUCUGGAGUGGUGUUCAUUCAUUUUGAUGCAUCAAUCUGCUGUUUCUCAAUCCUGGUCUUAGCCCCAAAGGGAUACACAUUUGAGUGUUUGCCCUAGCACUAACAUGCUGGAUUCAACUCAUCAAACCUUUAGUUGGGAAACACUACAUAUAUCUAACAUUCUAGUUCACAUGACUUUCAAAUCCAAUGUAGAGGAAAUGUGCACAUUUUUUCUCCGCUAAUUAUUUGUGCUCCUUGCAAGUGUCUUGCACCAUUACUGUGGAUGCUUGAAAUAACAUGACUACAAUCUUGUGUUCUUGACCACUUUUAAAAUAAGUAUGUAGGAUAUCUUACAAAACACAUACUUACUUCUCAGUUUGGUUACACAUUUAUUUGUCAAAAAGUAUAGUUGCUGAUUUCUACUAUACAAAAAAGCAUUAGCAGUAAGAACACCCCAUUUCAUGGAUCUGUGAUUGAAUCUCUUGAAUUUAAAUCUGUACACGUAAUGUAGUUUAAUCUGUGAUUAAUAAAGGGUGUUAAGAUACAGAAGGUUCCCUGGUGGCGUUACUUUUUGGGGUUGUGAUCCACCCCGUCCUCAUCCACCCAGAUCUCUCCGGUCUUGGCGAACUUGACCUCUUUAUCGACAGUGAGGAUGUAGGACUUGGGCUGACCCUGUGCAUACUCUGCCAGGAGGUUGUUCAGCCCAUUCAGUGGGGAUUCCUUAGGGCAACUAUGUGAAUUGUCACUUUCUACUUGGAAGCCAGUGACAUAGAGGUUAUGUGGGAGAAUGCUCUUCUUAAAGGUGCCUUCCAGAAUGAGGAUGGAGUCGCCCUUCUUGAGAUGACUCCCCUCGAUGAGGUCACUGAGAGCCAUCUUCUCUGACUUGUAGUAGAGACGCACUUUGCCACCUGUUGCGUUGGCUAUAUUACAACCUAAGAGAACAAGAGAAUGAAACAGAAAGAGAGAGAGAGAUAGAGAGAGAUAGUCAAAGAGCGAGAUAGAUGGAGAGAGAUAGUCAAUACUGGACAGUGCUGAAAGAAAUGUGGUUGUCAAUAUUAGGUGUUGCUAGGAAGACUGCUGAGAGCAACAGAGUCACACACUUGUUCACCUUUUGGAAAAUACUAAAAUGUAAAUGUUUAGAAUUGUUUAGACAGAUAAUGACAAUAUUCCAUACCAAGAAGGCCUCCAAGUCAGGUGACUUCUCAGGUGACCAUGAAAUGAAAAUCAGGUGACCUGUCACCUGACCCUAUAACUAUGUCUGCCAAGCACACUAAACAUUUCUUGGUUUGGCAGCCUUCGCCUGACUUCACUAGUAUGCGUUCAGGGUAAACAUGAGUGUUAUCUGCGCUACAUUCAUUGUUUAACCCCUAGUUCAACUUACCAACUUUUGAUGUGUAUGUUUGGACUCCUUCAUUAGCAUUGUUGUUCUGUUGAUGUAAACUCUUAUGCCUCUUUCUGUGUCUUUUCACAGAAACCAUACUCAAUCAUACUCUUUCAAGUAGUCUUUAUUCAUGUGAUUGCCCUCUGUGCUGGGACACUUUUUGUGCUACAAUAAAUGGUUAAAUGUUCUCUGGAGUCCUUGUCCUGUUGUGUAUUAAUUAUGGAAACCGUUUAAGAACCAAAACGGGGCAAAAUGAGAGUUUCUAUUGGACAAAUUCAGGUAGGUCCCUCCCUGUUUCGUUCCGUUUGCUUCUGUUUUAAUAAACGUUUUGCAACAGAAUCGGCGUAAUGGAUACUGGUCACUAACCGGAGCCCAAUUGGCAGUUAACAAACAAUCCACCCGCUACUGCCUUUAGUCAAAAGUACACUACAAACUCACUAGCAUAGUCUUACAAGCCAUUUUAAAACAAGUUUUCUGCAAUUCUACAGUUUGACAUGACUUAUUAUGCCUCUCUUGAGGGGUGUAUGGAGGGGUACUAGGAAAAUGCGGUAUAAGUGGAAGGGACAUUUUUGAACUUCCUGCAUUUCAACACAUUUUGCCAUGGGGAAGAGAAAUGUGCAGUUUUAUGGUUUUCUACACAUUGUCAUGAGUCUGAGAGAAUUAAGCAGUUUUAAAGCUAAUUUCUUGCAUUUCUACACUUUGCCAUGGGGCAGAGAUUAGGUUUUAUAGCUCUUGUCCUGCUAUUCUUCACAGAUUGCCAUGAUGAGAAAUGUAGCAGAUUUCAAGCUAAUUUCUUGCUACUCUACAAAUUUUUCCAUGAGGCUGAGAGAAAAUGAUGCAGUUUUAAAGUAACUGUCCAGUGAAAAUCUCACUUAAGUUCAUAUUCGUGGCGAAAGCAUAAAUUGGAGAAAAAAAACACUUAAACCUCACACUUGUAUCUCAAACAGACCUGUUUCAUAAAUGCUUGCUAUUUCGUCCGAGGAUGUCGUCCUCCUGAAGCAGAUGAGCUGGCCAAUCAGCAGUCUACUCGCACGAAUAUUUAAUGACCAGUAUACGCCCACACCAUUCCAACAUGUUUAAUUAAAUAUUUUUGGAAGGUAAACUAUUUCUCUCCUAUUGUAAUUCAUUAUAGGUAAUAUUUCAUAGAAAUCUAAAAACACUGGUCAAAAAUGCAAAAAUAACCGCUUUAAACUAACUGAUCUAUGCACCAUCAUACCAGGUUAUUUAAUGUUUUAAAAAUAAAAUGCACAUGAUAUUUGGCUACAGAAGUGCCAUCUCUACAGCUUCCGUCCAAAAACAAAUCCCAUGAAAUGACGUCAGCAGAUACUGGCUAGUUACAAGUGGCUGGCUUAGCUAAUGAGCUAGCUACGUCGUUCACAGCACGCAUGACCAGAGUGACACAAUGAACCAAAGGCACACCCCAUUUCUGUUUGAAAAUUGAGAAAGGAGUUUGACCGUUAAAGCUGAUUUCCUGCAAUUCUACAUAUUUUGCCAUUGCUUACGACAUGUUAGUAUGCUAUAUGGGGGGGGCAACCCCGACAAGAAUUUAUUGGUGGGGAAUAAUCAACUUGUUCUGAAUAUUGAGGGGGACAUGUCGUUCCCCCCCCACACACACACUUAGAAUCCCAUGUGGGAUGAGCCACAGGUUAAAUGGCAAGAAAUGAGUCCCUGCUCCAGUUGGACUGGGUUACAUACCUUGCGCAUCGCUGUUGACGUUGAUUGAACCACUAGCUCCCAUUGCUGCCAGAGAGAGGGGGAAGAGAGGCGUGAAAGAGGAUGACAGGUACGGAGAGAAAGUAAAUCUCCAAAUGUAAAUGGCUGAUUGAUUUAAGUUCUUGAAUUUGAAUAAAUGGUAAACUACUAUACACAGCACCACCAUCAGGAUGCUACACUACAGACAGUACCUAUAACAAGUAUUCACACCCCUUUAACUUUGUGUGUUAAACGACAACUAAAAUGGAUUGAAUUUGGGACUGAUCCAUCUCUGCACUGUACCCCAUACAUAUUAAAUCAAAUUUUAUUAGUCACAUGUGCCAAAUGCGGUUUAAAAAAUACGAACAAGAUAUAAAAGGAACAAGCAAUUAAAGCAGUAAAAAAUCAGUAAAAUAACAAUAGCGAGACGAUAUACAGGGGGUACCGGUACAGAGUCCAUGGUGGGGGGGUGGGUGAGCAAUGCAAAUAGUCUGGGUGGCCAUUUGAUUCGAUGUUCAUUAGACAUACACCAUAUCUAUAAGUUCCCUCAGUUGGCCCUGCUUAGGUCAUGCCACCAUGCCUGUGUUUAGACAAGCAGCCCAAUUGUGAUCUUUUUUUCACUAAUUGUUCUCUUGACCAAUCAGAUCAGUUCUGAAAAAGAUCUGAUGUGGUUGGUCAAAAUACCAAUUAGUGGAAACAAAUACCAGAAUUGAGCUGCUUGUGUAAACGCAGCCUAAGAAGCUUUUCUCGUCAACAGCCGGCUCUCCCUGUAGUAAUUAAGCCUGGGGAUGAGAUUACCAUGAGGCCAAUAGUGAUUUUAAAACCUAAACCUAAGGCAUGUAUUUCAAAUAAUGUAUUUACCUGUGUCUGGGUGUUCUUCCUUGGUGCAGUGGAGGGUUUGAAGGUUGUAGUAAUCAGGUGUUCUAGUGCAGAGUGGAGAGAUGGCUCUGCUUUUAUAGGGUAGAUCUUACAGAGGGAGGGAGGGAGGGUCGGUGGGGGGUUCUCAGCCCAAUCUAGGUAAAAGUUUAUGUGCCGGAGAACUGAAGAGCAAGAUUCAGUUCGAGAACCGACGUGGGCGUCACAAGAGCUGUAUAUUUAGAUGUCAAACACUAAAACGUAUUUUAUCUCAAAGUACCAUUCCUUGAACUACCCUGACAAGUAAAUCACAGACAAUCAAGGGAGUUUGAGCACCUAAAAUAAUAAAACGAUGAUCAGACUAAGAAUUAAAACAUUUGCUGGGGUCAGUUCUGACCAUGUAAGAGUCUCUGAGUUGCUAUCUAUGUGGAGUUGUUCUCUUGCUUAUUAAAACUGGUCUCAGAUCAGCUGGUAUCAGGGUCUUAGCCUGAAGGUAUAUGCGCUGUCUCAGGUCCAGUUUGCGUUGGAAGCCGUAGAGGCGGCAGUGGUAGGGCUGGUUGCCACUGUGCUGACGGCUGUGGGUGAUGUGGUUGGAGCUCUUUGCCACACACCAGGCACACAUGGGGCUUCU
Molecule: long non-coding RNA, 5685 nt
Organism: Oncorhynchus tshawytscha (Chinook salmon)
Lineage: Eukaryota; Metazoa; Chordata; Actinopteri; Salmoniformes; Salmonidae
Source: Ensembl